CAAAAUGUUGGCAGUUAUGUUCAAGACUGGAUUAAUAUAGGUUUGUUAUUUUACUAGCAUAUCCAAAGGCAAAUAUUCCUACUGGACUCCACCCUUCAGCUGUGAAGCAGGUUGUAAAUCAGUCCCUUUUUUGUUGUUUUUAAAGUAGUUUAGGGGCUUUAAAAUGGUAUUUAACAUUAUUACAGUCUGCUUGAAUAUUGUACAAUUUCUAACUAUUUCUUCUUUUUUAUAUCCACUUUCCCGUCACUCAGAAGCUUCUAAAGAAAACUGCAGUCACUGCUAAUGCUAAGGUGUAGCAGAAGUGCUUAUACUGUUUUUGAUGACUGUUCUCUCCCAAGUAUUUAGAUGCCGUAAUUUUUGACUUGCUGGGAAAGCCCAACAUUUACAGAGGAAAGGAAGGAAGGCCAGGUUUUCAGAUUUUGUCUUUAAGGCUGGAAUGCGUAAAUUUGUCAUUGUGUCUUUCCCUAGGAAAGCUCCAGUAGGUGCAGAGCCAACGGUCCUUGUCCCUUUGCUGCCAUUGUUAAUGGAUCAUUAAGACUAUGGAAAAAAAUAUUCUGCGUCUGGAAAUAUGGAAGGAAAUGGCUACUGGAUCAGGAGCCAGCAGUUCUGAUGCUAGCACACAUUCAGGCGCAUCCAUCAAGCACUCUAUGACCUGUGAAAAUUAUAUCCUACAAUAUCCCUGUUCAUGUGUUUCUAUUUUGAAAUUUUGGUCUCCGUGUUUAUUCCCUUUCCUCAGAGUCAGAGCAAUGUAACCUGGGUGCUGGAGGAAAAUGUUAUUUGAGCUGAUCUUAGACUCUUGACUGAUUGUAAAAAUAGGGCCUUCCUAUCCAUUAAGAUAAGACUGAAACUCUGGUGACAUUAAGCACAGCUAUAACAGCUUUGGUGUUCUGGUCUGCAAAAAAAUGCCUAUCCUGUCUAGCAGGGCCAUUGUGUUGGUAUGGUCUCUCAGACCUGGGUAAGAGGUUCCAGUCUAUCAGAUGUCACCUCCCACCAUGUCCGAGCAGCUCCUGUCCCCAGAGGGAGAGAACAAGUGAACGUAUGAUGUUUCAGAGCUCUUGUGAUAAAGCUUGAGUACCCUGGAAAGCAAAUAUGCUUCUCACUCGCCUCAUUCUCUUCUGAUUUCAUGUCCCUGGACUCUCUUGUGCUGCUUGUUUUCAUUUUCUUUGCAAGGCUGCCCUUAUCUGGACUCCUGCUGGAUCUCAUGUUCCCGCUCACAUCCUGCCCCUGUGCUGAGGAGGGCACAUGGGAUCAGAGCAGUCUGUGCUGGGAGCACUCAGCCUCACUGACGGGCCAGCAUCUGUGCACAGCAUGCUGUGCGAACCCAAGGCUGCUGGCUGUGUUGGUAGCAUGUUUAGAGUUUCCCAAAUGUAAGGACUAAAAGGGGAAAAACAUUAUCAUUUUUCAAUCCCUGUAAUUUAAUCACUGUGUAGAUUGACAUCCAACCUUACUUCCAUGCCCUCCCAGCACUGUGUUCAUGUCCCUGCUGCCCCAGCAGCAGUGUCUGCAGCCUGCACACUGGGCAAGGGAACAAUUCUCAUCAUGGCCUGUCUUUAGGUAUUUUUCUGUUUUCAGGUCAUGUUAGCUUUAAGCUGGAUCAGGUUCCUCAUCUGACCUACUGCAUAGUUUCAGAAGCACCAGUAUCAACAAGAGGGAGAAGGCAGGGCUGCUGGAGGCAAGGGAAGCAUGAGCCGACACCAAUCUCCCCUGUCCUUGGUUGUGGGCUUCUGUGAGACCUCUGUCCAUGUGCUCCCAGCCUGUGUCUCCCAUCACACCAGCCAUGGUAGUGUCACCAGGACCAGCUGCUGACCUGGUGCUCAGGUUACUCAGCUGAGCUGAUGUGUCUGUACAGAGCCCUGUGGUCCAGCACAAGGAACUCAUUGGAAAUGAUUGACAGUGGACAGGCGAGGGAGAGCUGGGCCAUUUCUCUCAGGUUGACAGUGGGUCACAACAGGUGUGGUGUGAAACUGGACCUGCACGAAGGUAUGAAUCAAAGUACCAGCUCAGGGUCCUCAUGUCAGACACAAGCAAGCAUUUAAUGAUUUAGCUUGAGGAUGGGACAGAAACAAUUUACUUAAUACUUCUGCAGGUAUCAAUCUGUGUGCUGUGGCUGGCUCCCUGCUCCCCAUCCGGUACGCACACACGCGCACACAAACACACACACACAAUGCCUUCUUUGUUGGUGUGGAAAAAUGCUCCACGGGGAGCUGCACACCCCAGAAUGCAGCUCUGUUUGCGUCUAGAGCCGUGAUGGAUCACUGUGGGGAAGCUUAAAUCUCUGCAGCGCUCAGAUCUCUAUCAAAAAAUGAGGGCGGCUGACGUACGCUCCAUUUAAUGUAAACUGCACGUAUAGCUGGAUUCCUUACCACCUUGUCAGUGCCACCCCCAACUGCCAAGGCCUGAGAGCCCCUGAGUCUACUGAAACCAAAGGGAGGUGAGCAUUUUCUUUGACUUGGAUGCAGGUAUUUUAAAGGGAACAUGGGAAAUAAUUAACACAUAAUUAACCUGUGGAACUUUCUGCCAGGAAGUAUUACUGAGGCCAACUGCUCUGCAGGGUUAGGAAUUUAUAUGAAUAAUAAGAGGUCCAAAGUGGAAAAGGUUUCAGCCUUCAAAGUAGGGCGGACAUCAAUAACCAAAGUGAGUUAAGGAGAUGGUUUUCUUAUGAAUAAAUUAUUUUCUAGUGGUCUAUUGUGGGAUGUCUCUCACAUUUCUGUGAACCCUCUGGGAAUAACUAAUGAUGAAGACAGUAGAACACUGGUCUGAUCCACUCUGUCAAGCGCCUUUCCUAUUAAAAUACAGUAUUGCAGAUGUACUCUAGAGCUACUAGAGCAGCACUCACCCUGGUUCUUACUGUGCUCUGGAAAAUAACUGCUUGUUCAAACAAUGUGAAAAACCAUAUCUUAUUGUAUCCCAGACCUGUCACUCUUGUAGACUGCCAUUAUUUGACUGGUUCAUUGUCACUUCAUCUCACUGGAAAGUUGUUCAUUAAAAAUGAAAACAUAUAUAUGGAGGAGGACAGUCUGUUUACUGUGAACUACAUAGAACUGUCAGAACAGAUCAGACUGGAAGGCUGACCUGCCCAGGAUGGACCUUUGCAGUGGUCUGCAGGUGUCUGAAGAAAGAAUGUAAUCAAUGGAGAAAGUGAAGAAUCAUCCUUCAUGGUAAACCAUUUAAUUGUGCCACUUCAUAUCUUGUGGAUUCCUUGUGGAGCUUCACUUGUGGAUUCCCUGUGGAGCUUCACCACAGGGCUUAAUAGACACUUAAAUUUUUAUUGCUUCUUGAAUCUUUUUAAUAUUUUGGCCUUCACUACAUGCUGUAGGCAGUAUCAUCCCAUGUUGUCUCACCUUCUGGGUGAGAAGGUGCCUCCUCUUGGUUGUUCUGAGCUUGCUUGGCCCAGUCCCAUAGGAUGGGCAAGAGGGAGCAGUCAUUCCCACAAGUUACCAUCUCUUGUACCUUCUUCUUCCUGCCUCCUUGCAGCUUUCGUGUGCAUCAGUUUCUGCCCAUUGCCCCUUGUCCCAUUUCUCAGCACCACUGAGCAGAGCCUGGAUCCAUCCUCUCAACAGGGCCCCUUCAGAUAUUUAUAUACACUGAUAAGGUCCUCUCUCAGCUGUCUCAAGGCUGAGCAGGCCCAAGUCUCUCAGCCUUUCCUCUGAGAGAUGCUCCUGUCCCCUCAUCAUCUUUGUGGUCUCUGCUGGACCUGUUCCAGGAGCUCCAUGUCCCUCUUGUACUGAGGAGCCCAGAAUUGGACGCAGCACUCCAGAUGCACCUCACCAGGGCUGAGUAAAGGUGGAAAGCUUGCAAAUUGUUGUUUUGCAUCCUGCAAAUAGGCAAUAGGUUUGACUUCCUUUUCUCCUUGACUUUGCAAGAAAUCUGAGUUUUUGCUAUCUACUUUCUCUGUAGCAUUUGUGACUUUACACACUUCUAUUGUAUCUGCUCAUCUUUGAAAAGAAAUUACUUAAGUUUAUUGGGGUGGCAAAGUCCCAUUUCCGCUGACUGCUUCCAUGUAUGAAAGUUCCAAAUUUCCUUGUCUUUCCCUGCCCUCCACACACUUUUCUCCAAUAUUUUUUUGCCUUUCCCUUUUGAAUUCUGAUGCAUCCUCCUAGAGACUGGGUAGCCAAAACAGCAUCAGGGAUUCACAACACUGUGAAUAGGGACACUGUGCAUUUGCACAGUGGGACAGUGAGCACUGUGGUUGUGUUCUCAUGACCCCAAGUUCACGUUUGCUCUUUAGACCACUGUGAAACCCAGAGCUGAUACUUUCAGAGGACAAACCACAAUGAGUCCCAGUUCUAUUUCCUAAGUAGUUUUUGAGCCUGCUUAAGGAGCACAACUCCAGGAACAACUCCUUGAGACAACUCCUUGUGGAUAUUUUCUCUCCACUGCACAAAGGAAAAGCAGUUAUUCUAAAUUUUUCAUAAGAAUGAAACCAGGGCCAUUUUGAGUCAGACCAGAAAUGCAUCUUGGCCACAGCCCUGUCUCUCUGAUAGUGGCUUGCGGGGGCUUAGGGAGAGAACCAGGUGUUAUACUGUGAUAUUUUCUGUACAUAUUUUCCAUGUCUGUGGCUGGGGAACUUCUUGGCCAGGAGGUUGCAUUUGUUUUUGUUCUCACAGCCCUUAGGAGACCUUUCCUUUGUUCACAUGCACAUGGAUUUUACCUUUUAUUCCAGCCAUUUUUUAAUCUGCAAGAGGAACUCAUCCAUAUCCUUGAAUACCCUUGGUGUAAGGAAAAGCAGAAACCCAAAGGGGAUUGCAGCUCAUGAAAACUCUCCAACGCAGCCUGAAACUAGCAGCCUCAGAGCACUUGGAAAUGAUGGGAAGGUGCACAGAUCUCCCUGGGUUACUCAGCCUUCUGCUGCCAUGGCUGGACUGUUAUCAGUACCCAGCAAGCCAGACAAAAGCUACUUCUGCUGUCUGCUCAAAUCACAGUCACACCUCUAGGCUGCAGUAUAGACACCCCCUCUGUCUGGGAUUGUUACACUACAUGAGUUCUUCCAGUUUUAAUAAAUUUGCAGUGAAAUAUU
Molecule: long non-coding RNA, 5017 nt
Organism: Corvus hawaiiensis (hawaiian crow)
Lineage: Eukaryota; Metazoa; Chordata; Aves; Passeriformes; Corvidae
Exons: 2
Source: RefSeq, a predicted model, not a curated record